AUGACUUUGUUUCCCAGGAAAUCCGUGCAGCGGAAGAUCCUGAAUUUGAGACUUUCUACACCAAAAAUAUUCUUUUAA
Molecule: ribosomal RNA, 78 nt
Filed under: Triticum aestivum (bread wheat)
Lineage: Eukaryota; Viridiplantae; Streptophyta; Magnoliopsida; Poales; Poaceae
Description: partial small subunit ribosomal RNA
Source: RNAcentral